This is a long non-coding RNA of Pyrgilauda ruficollis (rufous-necked snowfinch), 4353 nucleotides long. RefSeq lists it as uncharacterized. The record is from RefSeq and is a predicted model, not a curated record. Lineage: Eukaryota; Metazoa; Chordata; Aves; Passeriformes; Passeridae. The transcript is spliced from 2 exons.
GUGACAAAGACAACAUAGUCUACUCUUGAAUGCAGAGAGAAAUGGACAACACAUGUACAACCGGAGCUUUGGGCUGAUUCUCAGCACUUUGUUUUACCAGGAACUGGGAAGGUGCUGCACCAGGAACUGCAAUUCCUGGAACCAGUGAUCAGCUUCAGACAGAAGCAAGCACUGGCUGGAUUGCUGAGACAGCGAUCAAAAGGGUGGCACUGAUCUGUCACGUCAAAAGCUGGGUUAUAUGCAGACUGAACAAGAUCAACCCUGUUAAGCACCUGAAAGCUACAGGCAAAGGUCCAGCCAUGUAAUAAAACCUCAGACACUUGAAAAUCUUUCCAUUGUGCCCCAGGACCAAGGUGGAGUGAAGAAGGUUACUGCUUGUCCCAGGCUCAUGCAGACCAUUUUCAGAGAAGCCACUCCUGCACCUGGCUCUGCUGGCUGCUGGCCAAAGGCUGUGGCUUGCAGCAGGGGUGAUGGCCUGUGCCAGCGCACCAGGCAUCAGGAGGGGCCACCUGCCUGGGACACGAGUGUGGUAUGAGCUGAUAAGCUCACAACGGCUCGGGCUGGAAGCACACUGCAGGGGCAGGUGGUGCUGGCGGAGCUAAGACAGGUCUCAAAGAAGUCUGACCAAAGGCGUUACUUCUGUGCUGCCGCUGAAUUUUCCCCCUAUUUUGCACUCCAAGUUGAGCCACACUGGGAUGGGAAGGAGCAGCCAAGCCUGUAAAUUGUCCUGCCCCAGUGGACUAUGAUGGGUUCUUAAACCACAGAGCACACACUGCAGGUCUGACAGACUGGUGGGUGCAUCAGAAAUAAAACUCCAGAGCCCGGGGAGCAGAUGGAGUCACUGCUCACCGAACUAGAUGUUGCACAGAGGGCUAUGGUCUAGCUGACAAGAUGGUGAGCGGUCAAAGGUUGAACUCGAUGGUCUUGAAAGUCUUUUCCAACUAAAAUGACUUUGUGAUUCUUUGAAAACCAUCACAGAAGACUUAGCUAAAAGACCAUUUCAGAGAGAAAGCAACUGCAAAGCCAUUAAUCUUUCUUAUCAAGUCCUGCCCCUGAGCAGCUGUAAUUCCCCAGGUCAGGCCAUGAUGUGAGUGUCUUUUCCCCUUGUUUACCUGGAUUCUGUUGCAACAUGGCUUUGACAAUGCUGCAGGCUCUUGUUUUCAAUGAAAAUACCAGCAUUGUGCAGCCUCCAGACAGAGCCAGACGGCUUUCCAUGUAAACCACUGGAUUAUGCCAAUAUUUGACGCAUCUGCCAAUAUCUAGAAAAACAAGUCUAAAAGCCCAUAUUGUUAUAUAACAGAGAAACAAGGCAGGCUUGGUGCAAAGGGCUGCUGCCUCUCGCUCUCUUGAUCCUGAGGAAGACAGAGGAUGACAGAAGGAGAAUUCCAGUUUCAGCAGAGGCUGAAGCUUUUGCAUGCUAGCUGCAGGGGAGAUGGGAAAAGCUGCAGCCCUUCCUCCUGCCAAAGUGGGAAAAAAUCAGGCUCUCGCAGCAGCAUACUGAGCACAUUGUAGAUGCUUGAUGUGUUGAAAGAGAAAUCUGUGAAAGAUUUGAAAGAAAGGGGCUCUCCACUUUCCCAAGAGAUGAGCCUGGUCCUCUCUUCCUGCUCAGCUUGAUGAGAGGGAAAACUCCUGUUUGAGAUUCCCAUGCUGGGGGGCAUCAGGAUGGCCAAAAACUGAGUAAAACACCUGAGAGGUUUCAGAAACCCAGAGCCAAACAAGCCCUGUCCCAAAGAGCUGAGGAUCACCCUUUAUCUUGUUUCACCUGGCCACUCUGGCUAGGACAGAGCCCCUCUGUUGCUUGUGCUUCCUCCCCUCUGUGCGGCCAGGAAGGGACUAGAAGGAAGUUCCUCUGGGGCGUGGAGGGCAAGCAGGGCAAGGAUGCCCUCUCUUCUCUGCCAGGAGCUGCAAUGGGCCAGGAGACUGAAGCAGAAGAAGGAUGACAAAGCCCAGCAGCCCCACAGCUCUUCCAGCAGAUCCAUAAGCUGUAGACAGCUGCAUGUGGAGGAAGGGAGCGCUGGCCCUUGAAAUGGCAGCCCCAGUGCUGCUCACUAGGCACCUGCUGUUCUCCCUGCUUUCCCUUUGUGCCUGUGCAAGAGCUUCUGACUGUAUCUGGAUUAUCUGACUGUAUCAGGAUUAUCUACUUCUACCCCCAGCUCCCCUCCAAGGUCCUCUGUCCUGAGCAUGUAUCAGGGGAGCCUGGCUCUUGCUCUGUGCAGCCCCCCCUUGCACUUGGCUCUGUCUGGCUGCAGAGGGCUGUAAUUUCACAGCCUGCUCUCCUCUCCAGCUCCCAAUGACAUCACCCACUCUGAUUAUAUAAAGCACAGGGAGGAAGCCUUUAUUUAUGCGUGCUUUUUGCUCACAGCUUCAGCUGUCUCAGUGUACAACACACAUGCAAAUCCCUCUGCAGGAACUGGGCUCUCUUUAGCCUGAAUCAAAACUGCACUGCAGAAAAAGGUGUGGGUGCAAAAAAAAAAAAGGUCUCUGUUUCCUUCCCCCCCACCACUGAAUACAUUUUUGAGGAGUUUGGUUAGGAACCAACCUAGCACAACACUCUGCACCACAGCAAGCUGGGCACAAAGCCACCAGCUUCCUCCCUGCUGGGAAGUCCCCAGAGAGCUGAGGGACCUGUGCUGGCAGCUCCAAGCCCUGUGUCUGCUGGUCACAAAGUGGCUACACAGGGGCUGGAAACCUAACCCCCUCACAAUGCCCAGCAGGGUCCCUGCAAGGGCCAGCCCAGGGCUGUAAGGCCACUGGCAGUUUCCCUUCCUGGGCCCUGGUGGGCUCAGCCAAGCCCCUGGGCAGCCCCUGACAAGGGGUGCCCCCCACCGCCUGCUCCAUCCUCCUCUGGUCAAUGCUGCAGAAACGCUGCAGACACGAGCCGUCCCUGAAUGUUAACACUGCCAGAGAGACAGCAGCUUCUUUGCCAGAAGUGGUUUGGGAUUUGUGCAGGGUCCUUGCCAACUUCCACUACGAGCAGAAGCGAUGGAAACUGAGAAAAGAAACUUUCUCUGCUGAGGAGUCAGGCAAACGUGCACACACCCAGCUCUGGAGCAGCAGGUUUACCAGACUCAGCACUAUCAACCCCGUCAGACACUGCUGAGAGACUUUGCUGAAUCAAGGCCUGAACAUCUGCAAAACACACACAAACACACAGACACACACACAAACUCUUCCCAUCUUUAAAAGAUCAAGCCUCCCUCUCAGCAGGAAAUGACCAACUCGCCUCCAGCAGCAGUUCAAAAUGCUGAAUUCUUAAUUUUGUAUGUUGAAAGAGGGGAGCAUCUGAGGGAAAAGAGAAGCAUUUCCCAGAUAUUUUUGUACUAAUGCCUCCAGGUCUAUAGGGCUUGAAUUCAACAGUGGAUUUAAGCAUGUGCUCAACAUUAGGAAUAUGCUCAAGUUCCACUGAGGCUAAAUCAGACACUGGAUCUUUGUGAGAUGUUAAAAAAAUAGAACCAAACCAAAAGAACCAGAAGAAGGAGGAUCCUAACAUGGAGAAGGACAUUAUCAUAUGUCACCUCUUGCCUCAAAGCCUUUUCAAAGUCGAAUCUAAUUUAACCCUGAAAUUAGAAACCACCAACUUUGUUUGGAUUUCAGAGCCUAACAGAUUGUCUAAAAAAUUCAGGAGGGAUCACUGGUUAAAGAAAGCAAUUCCUGGAGAAACACAUGUGACCCCACAUCAAUAAUUCAAUGUACGGGAAUGAUUUUGAGAUAAAAGUAAUGAGAAACACAUGCAAAAACCACAGGGCAGGGAAAACACGCUUUCCUUCUAAAAGCAAUUCACAGGUCAGAGGCUGAUUAUCUCCAACAGCCAUCGCACUUGAUGUUUUUUCCUUACUCUUGUCCCUGACCCCCAGCCCAGCCCUCUCAGCGAGGUAUCCGCUCCCUGCUUUACCGAGCACCUGUCUCCAGCGAGCCAAGGGGUUUUUCCAGGCGCCUGGCUGCGGGCUGGAGGAGGCAGGAGCGGGCUGACCCCGCCGCCGGUGCUGCAGCGCCUUAUGCAGGGCUGCGAGCCCUCCGGCCGCGCCCGGCCCGCCUGCAGCGAGCGCAGCGAGCCCCGCUCGCCCUGGCUGCGCAGGGCACCACGGACACAUGGCUCAGAAGGAAAUCUGACUCACAGCUAGAAGUUAAUAUUCUCUACCCGAGCUGCGAAAUCGCCCGCAACAAGCCUUGCUUUUGGAUUUUAAAUCGGGUCUCUCCUCGCGAUUCUUUUCGUGUGUUUGCUCCCAGCUGGAAGGGGAUACUUGCUCAUCUGACCCUGUUUCCAGUCAGUUUCUACCGAUGGCUCCCUGGCAUGUAUUAGUAUUCCAAAUUAUUUGUAUUCCAAAUUGUAAUAAAAUCUGUCAUGAAAAUUAA